RNAcentral lists this long non-coding RNA (1862 nucleotides) under Phocoena sinus (vaquita). RNAcentral describes it as "lncRNA (ENSPSNG00000016037.1)". Lineage: Eukaryota; Metazoa; Chordata; Mammalia; Artiodactyla; Phocoenidae. The record is from RNAcentral.
UGUUAGUAUUUGCCUUAUGUAUUGAGGUGCUCCUAUGUUGGGUGCAUAAAUAUUUACAAUUGUUAUAUCUUCUUCUUGGAUCGAUCCCUUGAUCAUUAUGUAGUGUCCUUCUUUGUUUCUUCUAAUAGUCUUUAUCUUAAAGUCUAUUUUGUCUGAUAUGAGAAUUGCUACUCAAGCUUUCUUUUGGUUUCCAUUUGCAUGAAAUAUCUUUUUCCAUCCCCUCACUUUGAGUCUGUAUGUGUCUCUAGGUCUGAAGUGGGUCUCUUGUAGACAGCAAAUACAUGGGUCUUGUUUUUGUAUACAUUCAUUCGAUCUGUGUCUUUGGCCGGAGCAUUUAGUCCAUUUAUAUUAAGGUAAUUAUCAAUAUGUAUGUUCCUAUUCCCAUCUUCUUAAUUGUUUUGGGUUCAUUAUUGUAGGUUUUUUCCUUCUCUUGUGUUUCUUGCCUAGAGAAGUUCCUUUAGCAGUUGUUGUAGAGCUGGUUUGGUGGUGCUGAACUCUCAGGUUUUGCUUGUCUGUAAAGGUUUUAAUUUCUCCAUCAAAUCUGAAUGAGAUCCUUGCUGGGUAGAGUAAUCUUGGUUGCAGGUUUUUCUCCUUCAUCACUUUAAAUAUGUCCUGCCACUCCCUUCUUGCUUGCAGAGUUUCUGCUGAGAGAUCAGCUGUUAACCUUAUGAGGAUUCCCUUGUGUGUUAUUUUUCCCUUGCUGCUUUUAAUAUGCUUUCUUUGUAUUUAAUUUUUGACAGUGUGAUUAAUAUGUGUCUUGGCAUGUAUCUCCUUGGAUUUAUCCUGUAUGGGACUCUCUGUGCUUCCUGGACUUGAUUAACUAUUUCCUUUCCCAUAUUAGGGAAGUUUUCAACUAUAAUCUCUUCAAAUAUUUUCUCAGUCCCUUUCUUUUUCUCUUCUUCUUCUGGAACCCCUGUAAUUCGAAUGUUGGUGCAUUUAAUGUUGUCCCAGAGGUCUCUGAGACUGUCCUCAGUUCUUUUCAUCCUUUUUUCUUUAUUCUGCUCUGCAGUAGUUUUUCCACUAUCUUUCAGGUCACUUAUCCGUUCUUCUGCCUCAGUUAUCCUGCUAUUGAUCCCAUCUAGAGUAUUUUUCAUUUCAUUUAUUGUGCUGUUCAUCGUUGUUUGUUUCAUCUUUAGUUCUUCUAGGUCCUUGUUAAAUGUUUCUUGCAUUUUGUCUAUUUUAUUUCCAAGAUUUUGGAUCAUCUUUACUAUCAUUAUUCUGAAUUCUUUUUCAGGUAGACUGCCUAUUUCCUCUUCAUUUGUUAGGUCUGGUGGGUUUUUAUCUUGCUCCUUCAUCUGCGGUGUGUUUUUCUGUCUUCUCAUUUUGCUUAUCUUACUGUGUUUGGGGUCUCCUUUUUGCAGGCUUUAGGUUCAUAGUUCCUGUUGUUUUUGGUGUGUGUCUCCAUGACUAAGGUUGGUUCAGUGGGUUGUGUAGGCUUCCUGGUGGAGGGGACUGGUUCCUGUGUUCUGGUGGAUGAGGCUGGAUCUUGUCUUUCUGGUGGGCAGGACGAUGUCUGGUGGUGUGUUUUGGGGUGUCUGUGGACUUAUUAUGAUUUGGGGCAGUCUUUCUGCUAAUGGGUGGGGUUGUGUUCCUGUCUUGCUAGUUGUUUGGCGUAGGAUGUCCAGCACUGUAGCUUGAUGGUCGUUGAGUGAAGCUGGGUGCUGGUGUAGAGAUGGAGAUCUCUGGGAGAUUUUCGCCGUUUGAUAUUAUGUGGAGCUGGGAGGUUUCUUGUUGACCAGUGUCCUGAAGUUGGCUCUCCCACCUCAGAGGUACAGCACUGACUCCCGGCUGCAGCACUAAGAGCCUUUCAUCCACACGGCUCAGAAGAAAAGGGAGAAAAAGUAGAAAGAAAGAAUUAGUAG